AGAGUUUGAUCCUGGCUCAGGAUGAACGCUGGCGGCGUGGAUAAGGCAUGCAAGUCGCGCGGACACGAUUUGAGAUUACAUCAAUAAUUGCGUUAGCGGCAAACGGGGUAGUAAUAGGCAGGUAGAUUCCUCUAAGACGGGUAUAAUUCGCCGAAAGGCGGACUAAUUCCCGAUAGUUCCCGCAAGGGUAAACGGAGCAAUCCGCUUGGAGAUUCGCCUGCUCGCUAUCAGCUAGUUGGCAGGGUAACGGCCUACCAAGGCGAUGACGGCUAGGGGGAGUGAGAGCUUGUUCCCCACCAGGGACACUGCGACACGGGUCCCACACCUACGGGUGGCAGCAGCCGAGAAUAUUGGACAAUGGGCGAAAGCCUGAUCCAGCGACGCCGCGUGGAGGAUGAAAUCCCUCGGGAUGUAAACUCCUUUUCUCCGGGAUAAAGUCUGGUCCGCAAGGGCCGGAUUGAUAGUACUGGAGGAAUAAGGGCCUGCUAACCUCGUGCCAGCAGCAGCGGUAAUACGAGGGGCCCGAGCGUUAUCCGGAAUCACUGGGCGUAAAGCGCUGUUAGGAGGUUUUGUUAGUCUUGUUUUAAAUCCUUCCGCUCAACGGAGGGGCUGGACAGGAUACGGCAAAACUUUGAGGACGCGAGAGGUUGAUGGAACUCUAGGUGUAGGGGUGAAAUCCAUUGAUAUCUAGGGGAACGCCGAAAGCGAAAGCAAUCAACUGGCGCGCUUCCAGACUCUGACCAGCGAAAGCGUGGGCAUAAAAAAGGAUUGGUUUAGAUACCCAUUAGGGUAUAAUAAAACAACUAGUCCCUUAGUGAAUAAAUUCACUAAGCAAACUUGGCUAUAUCGGUAAAAACCCUUUUAUUUAAAGGACGAUACCGAGGGAAGUCUACAAAAAUUUAAAAAUCAAAAAUAAAAAAUUAAAAUGAUAAAUUAAAAUUUAAAAUUAUUGCGAAAGCGAUACUAAAAUUUUACAUUUUAAUAUUUGAUUUUUAAUUUUAUAUGACCCCGUAGAGACUAUACGCCGAGAUACCAUUUAUUGGUAUAUGAUAUAGUCCGAUCUUCAUAGUAAUGUGAAGAGUUAGACAGAAAUGUUCUAACCAUUAUUGAGAACAAUAAUAAGCAACAAAAUGUAGAUACCCUUGUAUUCCACGCCCUAAACGAUGCAGACUAGCUAUUUGAAGUAUCGACCCUUCGAGUGGCGAAGCUAACGCGUUAAGUCUGCCGCCUGGGAAGUACGGCCGCAAGGCUAAAACUCA
RNAcentral lists this ribosomal RNA (1259 nucleotides) under Candidatus Niyogibacteria bacterium RIFCSPLOWO2_12_FULL_41_13. RNAcentral's name for it is "bacterial SSU rRNA". It matches the Rfam family "Bacterial small subunit ribosomal RNA", at positions 8 to 903 of the family's 1533-position model. Lineage: Bacteria; Candidatus Niyogiibacteriota. The record is from RNAcentral.